UGGAGCUGCGGCGGGCCAAGGCUUCGUGGGGCUCGUGGAGCUGAGAGGUGGCAUGGUGUCUGACCCCUGCCCCAACCACUGAAUUUUCGUUACGUCCUGGAUUGCAAAGGACCUCAGAGCAAUCUUUGGUAGAUAACAUGAUCACGAAGGAUUAUAGCUUUGCCCUGAUAAUGACAAAGGAAGUAUCUACCAGAAGAAGUUAGCACUUAAUCUUUCUUACCCCACCAGCGAAUGUAAACGACAUUGAAAAGGGACUACAAGUUCUGAGGUUCACUAGAGAAAGAUACUAGAAGACCUGCUGAGGGUCUCUGAGAAGUUAAAAAUGCUGAUAUGCAUAAUUUGUGUAUUUUAUUUUUCCCUCCUGAGCUUUUCGAAGGAGAUGCAUAGCUUGGUGGUGAGGAUUCACACAGCACGGUCAAGACCCUGGAUUGGAUCCCUGGCACUGGUUUGUUUGUAUCAGUGAAAAUACACACUGUGCCUUUGUUAGAAGUUAAUAAAAUUCAGCUGACAUGUAGAUCUUCCUUUCAAAAAGCUAGGCAGGCUGCUUUUAAAAUUGCCAAAACACAAUAGGAACCCUCAAAGAUAUAUGGAGAUGAUGGUAGUUAAUAGGCAGUUUUCAAAGACUUGGCUUAUGUUGUGAGAAGCAGCCCCAGAAGUGGCAAAAGCCAUUCUUGUGACUUCAGCAACCUAAAAACCUCAGAAAUAUGACGAUUCUUCUACCUGUAAUGAUGGUAAGUACCAAAAAGGAAACAGUAUUUACCGUUUCUCUUCUGCCCUUUGAUUGAAAUGUAGAAAUGGUUCAGACUAAUGAGUCUUUGUUUUAAUAAGAUAUUUAUAUGAGUAAUAACCUUAGCUUGAGUUAUGUGGAAGACUGAUGUAUUGAAAGAAAAUAACAGGUUGGAUGAAAAUAGUGUGAAAAAUGGGGCCGAUAUAAUGUGAUGGGUUCUAUAAAUUUGUCAUGUAUUUGAAGUAUUCUAGCCUUCUAUAUAAUGGAUAGUCAACCAAAAUGUGUGGAAAAAAUAUCAGUGUCUUUUAUAAACACUACAAAUUAAGUCUUAACUUUCAUAGGAAAAAAAUUCCAUAUUCUUUAGAAACUUAUGGGAAAACAUUUUACCAGGAAAAAAAAUGUAUCUUUCAGACCUCUUUGAUUAUGGUAAAUGCCACUCCCCAUUUCCUUACAUUGAUACAGAUAGGCACAUCAUUUAGCAAGUACGGUUUGGGGGUUUUUUAUCUUUUUCCCUUGGAGUAAAUCUUCAUUUUACCUAAUAAGAGAACUAAAAUUUUUCAUAUUUUAGAUAUUC
RNAcentral lists this long non-coding RNA (1301 nucleotides) under Rattus norvegicus (Norway rat). RNAcentral describes it as "long non-coding RNA NONRATT002933". Lineage: Eukaryota; Metazoa; Chordata; Mammalia; Rodentia; Muridae. The record is from RNAcentral.